This 429-nucleotide ribosomal RNA is filed under the name Gemmatimonadota bacterium. RNAcentral describes it as "Gemmatimonadetes bacterium partial 16S ribosomal RNA". It matches the Rfam family "Bacterial small subunit ribosomal RNA", at positions 355 to 776 of the family's 1533-position model. Lineage: Bacteria; Pseudomonadati; Gemmatimonadota. The record is from RNAcentral.
UAGGGAAUCUUCGGCAAUGGACGAAAGUCUGACCGAGCAACGCCGCGUGAGUGAAGAAGGUUUUCGGAUCGUAAAACUCUGUUGUUAGAGAAGAACAAGGACGUUAGUAACUGAACGUCCCCUGACGGUAUCUAACCAGAAAGCCACGGCUAACUACGUGCCAGCAGCCGCGGUAAUACGUAGGUGGCAAGCGUUGUCCGGAUUUAUUGGGCGUAAAGCGAGCGCAGGCGGUUUCUUAAGUCUGAUGUGAAAGCCCCCGGCUCAACCGGGGAGGGUCAUUGUAAACGGGGUGAAUUGAGUACAGAAGAGGAGGGAGGAAUUCCAUGUGUAGCGGUGAAAUGCGUAGAUAUAUGGAGGAACACGAGUGGCGAAGGCGGCUCUCUGGUCUGUAACUGACGCUGAGGCUCGAAAGCGUGGGGAGCAAACAGG